This is a long non-coding RNA of Rosa rugosa (rugosa rose), 1761 nucleotides long. RefSeq lists it as uncharacterized. The transcript has 6 exons. Lineage: Eukaryota; Viridiplantae; Streptophyta; Magnoliopsida; Rosales; Rosaceae. The record is from RefSeq and is a predicted model, not a curated record.
CAAACCCGACCCCGACAAACCAAAACAAAAACCAGUUGAUCCCUUCCCAUCCUCUCUCUCUCAAUCGCAUUCACUUUCCUUCAACAAUAAUGAGACUAGGGUUUCAUUGUUAGGCCUCCGAUGUCCCUUCCAGAUCCCCAUUCACUCUGCUGAAUUCGAAAUCCCCAAUUUUCUAGGGUUUAAAUUUUCAAUCUCCAGUACCAUUCACUCUCGAGCAUGGCUUCCACGAUUGGCUCUCCAAGCAGUUCGUCCUCGUUGAGGCCGCCAUCGUCAUCGUCACCAAUGGAUGCUGCUAUUGGCGGCAUCAUGGGUACUUUCAUACUUAAUCCCAAUUUACCCAAAUCGAAGAUAGGGUUCAAUCCUGGGCGGGUCGGCGACUAGGCGUUUCAGUCCCUUUUUUUUUUUUUUUUUUAACUCUUCAUACUUAAUCCCAAUUUACCCAAAUCGAAGAUAGGGUUCUGGGUGUGAUGAAGGCCAUUUCUCCUCUCUCUCUCUAUGCGACAUGGCCGCACGGGCCAUCUAUUAUCAGCCUUUCUCCGACUCCGAGUCGCCGGUGACGCCGUGACAACGGUGACAUUGCUGAUUUGCUGCCUUGCUGUCAAAGGCGCCGGCUCUUCACUCUUGGUUUGCUCGCUUUGACUCCUCUUCAAGCUGUCAAGCAACAAAACAGAAGACUUUGGUUCAAUUUCUGGGUUCUUCCUUCAAGCUCAGUGAGUCUCUGAAUCUCUUGUUAAGUUGCUGGGCUUUGGUGUUUCUGAUUCUUGGAGCUAUUUGGCUGUUUUGACUAGUAUAUAGAACCGUUGAUUCUUCCACCAUCUUAUUUACAUGCUUCGUUGAUUACCAUAUUUCAGAGAGUUGGAUUUGUUUUGGACCGGGAAGGAAGUUUGCAUUGUGUGAGAUGAGUAUAAACGAUGAGUCCCAAUUUAUAUCUACGGAGGAAAGAGAAGAUGCAACAGGAAAUGUACAAAGAGAUAAUUUGGCUUCUAGAAGAAAUCGGACGAAAGAAAAGAAAUUAUAUACAUAGCUCAGCAACUAUAGCACGAAAUUCAAAGAGAACUUGUCUUUGCAUCAUUCCUUAAAGCUUUGUGCAGAAUUCCUUAAAGCUUUUCUAUAACCAGUUACAAGCAUGAAGCAUGUAAGUAUUACCAGUUCAUUUUACUUGAGUGUUAAGUAUUAUCGUCACCUUAAGCUAUUUCUGCUAGCUUUUUAGGCCUUUGCUUGUUAGUUAAUCUCAUCUGUUCUGUUAACAGAUGUCUUUGGACUGGGCAAUAUAUGUUUGUCUUUGGACUGGGCAAUAUAAGGACUAAUCUGCUGUCACUUUUGUACAAUGAAAAUUAGAAUUUCAUUGCAGUUCUUAAUUCUUUUCAGAUAAUUCAAGUAAUUCAUUCUGUGAGCUGUUUACUUGCAGGAACUUAAAAUGGGAAAGUCUGCAUAUUCAAGUAUGGAACACUUACCCAGAUGAGCAAAACCGCCUCAAAGCUCAAGUCUUUAACAUCUCAAGUCCUCCAUUUUCAAAAAGCAAGCUUCUUUACUGCAACAUUUGCAGAUUGUGAAGAAGAAGAACCACAAUACCCAAACAGACCCAAGUAGAUGGUACAUUUCCAUGCACCAUAUAUGUGCCAUGUUUUGGAACAAUAUAAAUGUGUAUCAGCUUUUGAUGUCCCAAGCACAAGAAUGCUUUUCUUGUUUAAAUGUUGGCUUGGAUGAUUGGGAAAUGCACCAUUUUUGCUUUUGAAGUUUAGUAUUGGUUAGAUUACUCAU